GGCUCAGGAUGAACGCUAGCUACAGGCUUAACACAUGCAAGUCGAGGGGCAUCAGGAAGAAAGCUUGCUUUCUUUGCUGGCGACCGGCGCACGGGUGAGUAACACGUAUCCAACCUGCCCUUUACUCGGGGAUAGCCUUUCGAAAGAAAGAUUAAUACCCGAUAGCAUAAUGAUUCCGCAUGGUUUCAUUAUUAAAGGAUUCCGGUAAAGGAUGGGGAUGCGUUCCAUUAGGUUGUUGGUGAGGUAACGGCCCACCAAGCCUUCGAUGGAUAGGGGUUCUGAGAGGAAGGUCCCCCACAUUGGAACUGAGACACGGUCCAAACUCCUACGGGAGGCAGCAGUGAGGAAUAUUGGUCAAUGGGCGCUAGCCUGAACCAGCCAAGUAGCGUGAAGGAUGAAGGCUCUAUGGGUCGUAAACUUCUUUUAUAUAAGAAUAAAGUGCAGUAUGUAUACUGUUUUGUAUGUAUUAUAUGAAUAAGGAUCGGCUAACUCCGUGCCAGCAGCCGCGGUAAUACGGAGGAUCCGAGCGUUAUCCGGAUUUAUUGGGUUUAAAGGGAGCGUAGGUGGACUGGUAAGUCAGUUGUGAAAGUUUGCGGCUCAACCGUAAAAUUGCAGUUGAUACUGUCAGUCUUGAGUACAGUAGAGGUGGGCGGAAUUCGUGGUGUAGCGGUGAAAUGCUUAGAUAUCACGAGGAACUCCGAUUGCGAAGGCAGCUCACUGGACUGCAACUGACACUGAUGCUCGAAAGUGUGGGUAUCAAACAGGAUUAGAUACCCUGGUAGUCCACACAGUAAACGAUGAAUACUCGCUGUUUGCGAUAUACAGUAAGCGGCCAAGCGAAAGCAUUAAGUAUUCCACCUGGGGAGUACGCCGGCAACGGUGAAACUCAAAGGAAUUGACGGGGGCCCGCACAAGCGGAGGAACAUGUGGUUUAAUUCGAUGAUACGCGAGGAACCUUACCCGGGCUUAAAUUGCAGUGGAAUGAUGUGGAAACAUGUCAGUGAGCAAUCACCGCUGUGAAGGUGCUGCAUGGUUGUCGUCAGCUCGUGCCGUGAGGUGUCGGCUUAAGUGCCAUAACGAGCGCAACCCUUAUCUUUAGUUACUAACAGGUUAUGCUGAGGACUCUAGAGAGACUGCCGUCGUAAGAUGUGAGGAAGGUGGGGAUGACGUCAAAUCAGCACGGCCCUUACGUCCGGGGCUACACACGUGUUACAAUGGGGGGUACAGAAGGCAGCUAGCGGGUGACCGUAUGCUAAUCCCAAAAUCCUCUCUCAGUUCGGAUCGAAGUCUGCAACCCGACUUCGUGAAGCUGGAUUCGCUAGUAAUCGCGCAUCAGCCACGGCGCGGUGAAUACGUUCCCGGGCCUUGUACACACCGCCCGUCAAGCCAUGGGAGCCGGGGGUACAUGAAGUACGUAACCGCAAGGAUCGUCCUAGGGUA
RNAcentral lists this ribosomal RNA (1440 nucleotides) under uncultured organism. RNAcentral's name for it is "SSU rRNA". It matches the Rfam family "Bacterial small subunit ribosomal RNA". The record is from RNAcentral.